Molecule: RNA transcript, 2303 nt
Organism: Brachypodium distachyon (stiff brome)
Lineage: Eukaryota; Viridiplantae; Streptophyta; Magnoliopsida; Poales; Poaceae
Gene name: E3 ubiquitin-protein ligase BOI
Exons: 5
Source: RefSeq, a predicted model, not a curated record
CUACGAUUUUAAUAUCUUUCCGAAAACGAAACAAAAACUCCACCAAAUAAAUCGCGGAACUCCCAACGCUCCCUCUCUCGUCCGCAUUCCCCAAUCCAACCCCGCCGUCAUCCUCCUCGUCGUCGUCGGCAACCGCCGGAGGCCUUCGCAAUCUCCGUCUCCUCUCGAACCGCGCCGCAGAUUCCGUCCCUCCCCCCUUUCUGUUCCCUGCACCGUCCCCGCUUUUCCCCCGAAUUUCGGCUGGGUUCGUUUCCCGGGGAGUGCGGUUUCGAUUCUCCGUGAUCGGGAUCGGAUAAUUCGCCCCGAUCGGAGGCCGCCGCCACCGCCUCCGCCGCCGCAGUCGUCUGGGAGUGUAGUCUGCGGCGCCUUCUGGAGGAAGGGUGCCGGAAUGGAGGGGCAGACGUUCGGUGGAGGCGGCGGCGGCAACUGGGUCUCGGCACCAUACCCUGGCACCCAGGCCAAGGAGAGCCCGUUCGUGUUUGAUGCCAAGCCCGCGCCGCAGCAGCUUCAGCUCUUCGGGAACACGGCAGUUGGUACCAGUGGUUAUUAUAACUACAAUGGAAAUAACCACCUGCCUAUAAUGAACCAAGCAAGAAAUACAUGCAAUUAUACAGUGGAUGAAAAGAAGCUCAAGCUUCAGAUGUCCUUGAACAGCUUUCCUCCAGGGGAUGCUGAUCGGUUGCCAUGUACUGGUAAUUCAAGUGCUGUGUCUACUGGGCUAAGAUUGUCCUAUGAGGAUAAUGAGCGCAAUUCUUCCAUCGCAUCCGGUAGUGGAAGCAUGUCUUCAUUGCCUACCACGAGGCCUGAAAUUGAUGCUAUUAUGGCAGAAAUGGAGAAAGAAAACAAAGAGAUUGACUACUAUUUCAGAGUCCAGGUGGAGCAACUCUGUAAGCACGUGAGAGAGAUGAAGCAGAAGCAGAUGGUUUCUUUUGUAGCGUCCGUUGAACGCAGAUUCGGAAAGAGGCUGAGGGAGAAGGAACUCGAGUUGGAGACCAUGAACAAGAAGAGCAAGGAACUGAACGAGCAGAUCAGGCAGGUUGCCAUGGAAGUCCAGUCAUGGCAGUCGGCGGCACUCUACAACCAAUCUGUCGCCAGCAGCCUGAAGACCCAGCUGAUGCAAGUGGUAGCCGAGCAGGCCAAUCUCACCAGGGAAGGCACCGGUGACAGCGAAGAGGAGAACGCGGGGUCCGGCCAGAACAUCAACGCCACACCAGGGGGCUUCUUCGAGUCGAGCCUCCUCCUUGGAGGCAGCAAGAGCACAGCUGCCGGCGCGCUGCGGGCGGCUUGCAGAUGGUGUGGAGCAAAGGAGGCGUCCGUGCUGGUGAUGCCAUGUCGCCACCUGUGCCUGUGCACCGACUGCGAGAAGGUCACAGACGCGUGCCCUGUCUGCCGGUUCCCCAAGAGCGGCAGCGUCGAGAUCAACAUGUCCUAGUCACAAUCUCGUGUCCAGUGAAAUGGGACAGUGAUAUCGUGAAGCAGUACCAACUGCAAACCCUAAAUAAGAAGGAAACAAGGGGGAAUGGAGUGUGAGCAGGGGCACCUGUGCAUGAUGGGUUUUGUUUUGGAGUUCGUUGCGGCAGAAACAAUGUGAAGAAGGGGCAGCUGCACACGCAACGGAACGUGCAGUGCUGGAGCAGCUGUUGUUGCUGCUGCUGCUUUGCCAACUGAAUGGAUUUGGACGAGUGCGUCCUAAGGUAAAGCCAAAAUCCAAUGGUGCCGGUGCGGUUCAUGAUUGCCCGCCUGGAUCAGAAUUGGGACAAAGGUCUACCAUUGUUCUGGCUGGCAAAUCGGGGCGUCCGAUCGAAGAAAUGGUCGGCGCAGAUCUGAUUUACCGUUUGGAACGGCACCGGGACGUAGGUUUUUUCCAUUGCAACUUGUGCGGCGCUCUGUGGCUUGUCUCUUCUUAAACAAGAAAGCUUCGGAAAAAAGAAAGAAAAGAAGAGAGCAAAUUUUUGCAAGACAAAAUGAGAAGAAUGACUGUCAUCUUUUGUGUGUUGUUCUUCCCUGCAAUCAUUCGGCCGGCUCUUGAAAGGAUUUGGAUCGGAUUGGAAGAAAUGGAGCGGGAGACGCUACCGGGGGCGCGGCUUGAUUGCAAGAAUCUAAUCGUGGAGCUACAUCAUCCAUGGCCAAUCAUGAAAUUUCCGUGCAACUCAGCCCCGUGGCUAUGAGCAUCAUUGGACGUCACUCUUUGUUGGUUAAUCUGAUACAAGUAAGGCCUCUUUGAUCUGCAAAAUUCUGAAAAAUGUUAAGAAAAGUACAAUAAUUAUGUGGGCUCAGUCUUUUGAGCCUUGAUUUCCUUUUUA